Molecule: ribosomal RNA, 496 nt
Filed under: uncultured bacterium
Lineage: Bacteria
Description: partial 16S ribosomal RNA
Rfam family: Bacterial small subunit ribosomal RNA
Source: RNAcentral
GAUGAACGCUGGCGGCGUGCCUAAUACAUGCAAGUCGAGCGAACGGACGAGAAGCUUGCUUCUCUGAUGUUGCGGCGGACGGGUGAGUAACACGUGGAUAACCUACCUAUAAGACUGGGAUAACUUCGGGAAACCGUAGCUAAUACCGGAUAAUAUUUUGAACCGCAUGGUUCAAAAGUGAAAGACGGUCUUGCUGUCACUUAUAGAUGGAUCCGCGCUGCAUUAGCUAGUUGGUAAGGUAACGGCUUACCAAGGCAACGAUGCAUAGCCGACCUGAGAGGGUGAUCGGCCACACUGGAACUGAGACACGGUCCAGAGGCCUACGGGAGGCAGCAGUAGGGAAUCUUCCGCAAUGGGCGAAAGCCUGACGGAGCAACGCCGCGUGAGUGAUGAAGGUCUUCGGAUCGUAAAACUCUGUUAUUAGGGAAGAACAUAUGUGUAAGUAACUGUGCACAUCUUGACGGUACCUAAUCAGAAAGCCACGGCUAACUACGUG